AGCAUAUCAAUAAGCGGAGGAAAAGAAACCAACAGGGAUUGCCCUAGUAACGGCGAGUGAAGCGGCAACAGCUCAAAUUUGAAAUCUGGCCCCAGGCCCGAAUUGUAAUUUGCAGAGGAUGCUUCUGGUAACGUGCCUUCGGAGUCCCCUGGAACGGGGCGCCAGAGAGGGUGAGAGCCCCGUAUCGUUGUGCACCGCGCCUUUGUGUAGCGCCUUCGACGAGUCGAGUAGUUUGGGAAUGCUGCUCAAAAUGGGAGGUAAACUUCUUCUAAAGCUAAAUACCGGCCAGAGACCGAUAGCGCACAAGUAGAGUGAUCGAAAGAUGAAAAGCACUUUGAAAAGAGGGUUAAACAGUACGUGAAACAAUUGAAAAGGAAGCACUUGGGAUCAGACUGGGACUUUGCCUUCCCUCCGCGUUCUCGCGGGGGUAUUUGGUGGGUUCUGGCCAGCGUCGGUUUUUCCAGAGGGAUAAAAGUAUGGGGAACGUAGCUCUUUCGGGAGUGUUAUAGCCCUGUGCACAAUGCCUUUGGGGGGACCGAGGUUCGCGCUCUGCAAGGACGCUGGCGUAAUGGUCCUUAGUGGCCCGUC
This 588-nucleotide ribosomal RNA is filed under the name uncultured fungus. RNAcentral's name for it is "eukaryotic LSU rRNA". It matches the Rfam family "Eukaryotic large subunit ribosomal RNA", at positions 37 to 653 of the family's 3401-position model. The record is from RNAcentral. Lineage: Eukaryota; Fungi.